AGCUUUCCACAGAGGCAGUAUUGUAGAGACAACGAGGUGUAUCUGAGGCGCGAUUAUUGCUAAUUGAAAACAUUCUUCCAAACUUGUUAAUUUUGUACAGUAUGAAGUAAAAACUAGGUUUCACUGCUUAGGAAUGAAUUGUUUGUCUGUCUGACUUCAGU
Molecule: small nuclear RNA, 161 nt
Filed under: Suricata suricatta (meerkat)
Lineage: Eukaryota; Metazoa; Chordata; Mammalia; Carnivora; Herpestidae
Description: U4 spliceosomal RNA (ENSSSUG00005013155.1)
Rfam family: U4 spliceosomal RNA
About the family: U4 small nuclear RNA (U4 snRNA) is a component of the major U2-dependent spliceosome.
Source: Rfam by way of RNAcentral